Cygnus olor (mute swan) is the source of this 1136-nucleotide long non-coding RNA. RefSeq lists it as uncharacterized. The transcript has 4 exons. NCBI's taxonomy places the organism in Eukaryota, Metazoa, Chordata, Aves, Anseriformes, Anatidae. The record is from RefSeq and is a predicted model, not a curated record.
AGGAGCUACGGGCGGUGCCAUCUUGGCGGGGGGGCGAGCACACACAAAAUGGCCGCCCCAGGCUACCACCUUCCCCUUCCCUGCCGAGCAAUGAGGGAGACCCAGAGCUUUCCGGCCACUCUUGUAACCCUCCAGCCCUUCCUAUCUGUGCACACACCCCCUCCAACUUGUGUUUUUUUUUUUUUGUUUUUCCUCAACCUCAUCAGUGCAGGCGCUGGCUGCGUCCUUUCAGAAAGACCACAUCCUCACAGUGAGGAGAGUCACCUUGCCCCUUCUUCUGCCUCCUCCCCAGGAAGGAGUCUGCCCUUUGAGCAAUUGCACUACACCCACCUCACCUCAGCGACAGAGGGGCUGCAACACCUGGCCACCAUGAGGAGAUCUCCAGGCCAGCACUUUGUCCAGCCACCACAAAAUGGCUGCUUGUGUGCGGCAGCCCCCCGGCCCCAGGCGACGGGAUCUCUCCUGCGGGGGCACCAGAGCAGCCAAGCUGCCUUCAUGGCCACUGGAUGGUGAAGGAAGGUUUAAUGGCCCCAUGCUCGAGGCUGGAGAUGCCAAACAAACAUUUUAUGGAGUUGAGUGGAUGGAUGUGCUAUGGGAUCGGCUCAGGUUGAUGGGAGUCCUGCAGAUUUAGGUCCUCUGCAUCUUCAAGACUCAGGAUAAAGAAGAGACCGGGAUGGCCACUGGUGCUUGAAGGCCAUCUAUUAUCAUUUAAAAUUCCUGAAGCUCUUCAGUUUAUACAGAGCCCUAUCUGGAAGUAAAAUAAAAGCUAUACUGUUGUAAAAAGCAUAGGGCUAGGAAAAAGAAGGCUUGCUUUCAGUUUUCAGCCUUUUCAUACUUCAUGUGUGACCAUCAGCAAGUCACCCAUUCCCUCUGUUUGCAUCUGUGAAAGGCUCACUUCUGUGAGGCCAGUGGAAUUACACUGGAGUAAAACACGAACACGAGGAGAAAGAUGCAGCUCAUUCUGAACUUGUCGACCUGCUUGUAUUGAUGAUUUUCUGCCAAAUGCAUCUUGUUGUGUAAUCAGUCACACUUCUGCUCUUCAGAUGUCCAACUCAGAGCCAGUUUGGCAUGUUACUUCUCUUCAGAAGUCCCUUCAUUAUGGACGAUGGCUGCUUUAUUUUAUGAAACAAGUCUUG